CGCGGGCGUCCUGGGUGGGGGCUGGGACUGCACACCCAGUGCCAGUUCUUAGCACAAGGAGCGGGCAGCGGGGCCUGGUCCCCUCCACGAGCUCGUCUCCCUUCCCGGCCCCACCUCCCGUCUGCACUGGCCACUCUGGUGAAAUCGCAGGCCUCGUCUCUGAAGCUCAGUGUGAAUGUGAGCUGGCCGUGCCCGCUGGCCAUGGGUGGCGUGGCAGGGCAAGGGCCCGCCCAGGAGGCCAUGGCCCUCACAGGUGUUCUCUAAGAACCACUGUGGGCUUAGGCAGCAGGCCUGGGGCCCUUGGCAGGGACCCACGGCACUUCUGCACGAUCCCUUGGGCGACUGGCCCCCAAGGCCAGCUCUGUGCAGAACCAAGGCCAGGGCCCAGGGCGCCCCAUGGAUCAGCUAGGUCCGCUUCCCCGCUGCCGAGGUGGGCCAGGGCUCUGGCUCUUUUCUUGGCCAGGAUGUGCUCUGACCCCAGGGUUUGUUGAUCCCCUGACCCGAGCGCCCUCUCCCCCAGCCUCCCUCUCCUGUUCCGGAAGAGUGGGCUCUUCCGAUGAGCACCCGUGAACAAGAGCCCGUGUGAUUUCCUGACACAAAGAGGACUCACGCAGGGGCUCCACACAGCAGAUGUCCCUGGUCUGACCGUGCUGGGCCUGGCCCUUCCUUGGCUUGAAGACAUACUACUUCAGUUUCUGCCUCCAUGGCCGCGUGACUCCCCUGUGUGUCUGUGUCUCUCUUGAGGACACAGGACACCUUGGUUAGGGCCGACUGUACUGCCCUCAUCUCUACCAACUACACCAGCAGAUCUGCUUACUUCCAAGUAAGGCCACCCUCCCAGGCACCAGGCGCUGGGACCUGGACACCAUCCACCACCCAGAGCCCUGGAGGUCCCACUCCAGCCAGGCAGGCACUUGCUAGUUCCGGGGCGUGGGCUCAGCCAGGGCUCCUGCUGAACCUGCCCACAGCCCCUCGAGGCAGAGUCCCAACUGCCAGGAUUCUCUAGGCCCCUGGCUUCCUGCCACAUGCUCCUCUUCAAAUGGAUUCACUUUUGAAACCAUUUUUCUCAUCUUAAGUAGCAAAACCCUGAAACCAUGUUUCUGGUGUGUUAUUGUGUUUUAACUGAUGCACAUUGAAAAUAAGCCUGUAUUUUUAAGUCAUCCACCUUCCAUCUAAAGCCAAGGUACAGACUCCACUUUGGAAAACGCUGUUGAUGUUGAAUAUUCAACCUGUAUUCUCCAAGGCAACAGUUGAACUUUAUCAGAAGCAUCCAAAAGAAUGCUUCCAAGGGCAGCCAUUCCAGGCCCCAUGGUGGUCUCGUAGGAGGAGGGGGCCCGGGGCCCUGGAAGCUGGGAGCUUCUCUCUGACACAUGAGCUCUGAGACCGACGAGGCGGGCUCAGCCCUGCCUGUGCCCCAGCUGAAGGGUCUGCUCACAGCCUCCAAGGCUCCGCUGGCUUGUGUACGCUGGAAAUGCCAGUAGCCGUUCCUAGGGAUAGGUGCGGUAUCUAGGGCGGCACCUCAACUGACACCCUGCUGGCUCUCUGCGCUGCCCGGGAGGCCGCUGCCCC
Molecule: long non-coding RNA, 1569 nt
Filed under: Marmota monax (woodchuck)
Lineage: Eukaryota; Metazoa; Chordata; Mammalia; Rodentia; Sciuridae
Source: RNAcentral